AUGAGGAGCACAGCUUCAAGAUGCAGAUGGAGCCCAAGAUCUCAGAUGGGAACCACAAGCUGCUGUUGUCAUGGUUUCAGGUAUCCUGGAGACACAAUACUGGAUGCUAAUUGGUGGAAAGAAGCAGAGAGCGAAUCGUUUAUUGGAAACAAUCAGCAGAGGAGUCUGGUGCACGCGCCUCGUCCCUGCGUCCGUCCGUCUCAUCGUCCGUCCGUCUCAUCGUCCGUCUCAUCAUCCGUCUCAUCAUCCGUCUCAUCAUCCGUCUCAUCGUCCGUCUCAUCAUCCGUCUCAUCAUCCGUCUCAUCAUCCGUCUCAUCGUCCGUCCGUCUCAUCGUCCGUCUCAUCGUCCGCCCGUCUCCACCUCGUUUGGAGUUUCUCAAGGUCAUGUGGAGGGUGAUGGUCACAUGACUUCUCAAUGCGCCACUGAUGUAAUGUUUAUACUGUAAGUCCAAUGAGAGGGUUGUCUCUCGGUCCCACCUGCCUCCGGGGCGCGUCCUCCCUCAGAUCACAAUCAGUAUCAUCGCCCAACUUUCCAAAACAAUCCAUUCAUCAUGAUCGUUUCAUUCGCCACAUCAGAGACGUCGCACACGUCACACACAGAAGCCUCAGCUGUUUUAUCCCCGUAGCCUGUCAGUGGCAUUAAUCAUGCAGUCGGCAUCUGGUCGCCUAGAUUUAAACAGGAUUUUAUCCAAACUGCCUUGGCACAUGCAGAGAAUUUAAAUUUAGAUGUUGAACAGCAGCAGUAGGUAGCUUUUAAAUCCAAAUGGACUAAACAGCCAGAGGUCCAGUAAUGAAGACUUUGACUGGUGCCGUGUGAAGACUCACAGGAGCCGCUGAGCCUUAUGUUACUUUGGACUAAGCUCCUGUAUUGUGUUGCCUGCAUUUACUGUAGCCUGUCAUCACUUCACAACAUCACAACAACAUAAACUUGCUGUCAUCGCUGGAGACACGCAUGUGGUUGGGUUCAGUUAAGUGAUGGAAGGCGCCCAGACGUCAAAUCCACCUUCAAAACAAGUCAUUUCCGCGCGACUCUGACUCACUUACAGCCCAGCGUCGGCUCAGUUUGUCUGUAAAUGGAGUCGAUGGAGCAAAUGCCACAACAAGCAGACAUCCUGAUCAAUGAAAUGUUAAUGUGGAAAACGCUCCACCAGAUGCGUAUGCGCUAAAACAGGCUCAGUGUGAAGGAGCCUUGAAACCCGAUGAGGUGGAGUCAGGCAGGUGUGAAGUGCACGGAGCAGAACCGCAUCAUGUUCCACAGCAACACAGGACUUUAGACGUCGACCUGAAAUUAGACUGAAACUGAUGACUGUGAGCCUUUCAUUGUGAGGAUGCAGCCGAUGCCUGCUUUUCAUCGGCGUGUGCGUAAACAGAGCUUGUUCAUUAUGCAGUGAGCGCUCCCAAACAGCAGAAUGAUGACAUGGGCCGAUGUUGCAUGAACAGAGACAACCACAGCGCGGCAGCUGGGUUCUGCUCGGCUCAGUUCAAUCCGCUUCUUAAUAAAGAACGUGUCAAGAGUGGAGGCA
Molecule: long non-coding RNA, 1523 nt
Filed under: Betta splendens (Siamese fighting fish)
Lineage: Eukaryota; Metazoa; Chordata; Actinopteri; Anabantiformes; Osphronemidae
Description: lncRNA (ENSBSLG00000013494.1)
Source: RNAcentral